Molecule: long non-coding RNA, 369 nt
Organism: Cataglyphis hispanica
Lineage: Eukaryota; Metazoa; Arthropoda; Insecta; Hymenoptera; Formicidae
Exons: 3
Source: RefSeq, a predicted model, not a curated record
GCUUGCUAUACAAUGUCAAGGCCGAAAGAUGUUCGACUGGGACCAACCACAAACUGAGGCCGCAGGAGCAGUCGUCGCAUCGUCAGAAAGCUCGUUUCGCAUCAGUUGAAUUCUAACACGUUUCUGCAUUUAUCAAGUGCAACGACGAGUCUUCCAACAGACGUCGGGAAACAGGUGAUGUCGGUAGAAAGCACUUUACAAUCCCCGCUUCUUCAGGACGGACAGGCAGAUUGGCGUGAGGAGGUGAAACGAGGCAACAGACAAGGCCAAGGUUGUAUGGUAAGUUCAACAAAAUUAUGCGCACUUUGGAAAAAAUAUUGACUCACCUGGCUUUGACCAACUCGAUAAGAUGCAGGAUCGACAUCGACG